CAAACUCAACAAAAAGCUAUGAAUAUAAAUGCGGAUAUUUCUUAGAAUUGACAGUCAUCCUUUACAAGUUACGGUCAUCUUUUUACUAAUCACGGUCAUCCUUGUUAUAUGUUACGGUCAACUUGAAAAUAUUUUGAUGACGAUUUUUUGUCAUCUUAGCGAUUUUUUUUAAUCAAAUUUCUUGUCUCGUGCACAUUUCUUGUUAGUAAUUUGUGAUUUCCGUGUGAAUCUUUUUUAAAUUUACAUCGUAUCAAUGUAUGAUUUGUAAAGAACGUGAUGUAGAAACACUUUAACAGACAAUACAAAGACUGACCUAUUUUCCGUCCGCCAUCUUGGGAUGACCGUGAAUGCAGUUACGGUCAUCAGCUUUACCCCAGUAAAUAUGUUCUUUAUCAAUACUUGUUUUACUACCUUUAAAUUAUUAAGGCAAGUAUUGAAUGUUAAGAAGAAGCCGCUGAGCCAGCCAACGUACUUUUCUUGUUUUAUUGUUACAGACAAUAAUAUUAUUUCAC
Molecule: long non-coding RNA, 512 nt
Filed under: Mytilus galloprovincialis (Mediterranean mussel)
Lineage: Eukaryota; Metazoa; Mollusca; Bivalvia; Mytilida; Mytilidae
Source: RNAcentral